This 405-nucleotide ribosomal RNA is filed under the name uncultured bacterium. RNAcentral's name for it is "bacterial SSU rRNA". It matches the Rfam family "Bacterial small subunit ribosomal RNA", at positions 30 to 417 of the family's 1533-position model. The record is from RNAcentral.
AUUGAACGCUGGCGGCGUGCCUAACACAUGCAAGUCGUGCGAGAAAGUUCCUUCGGGAGCGAGUAAAGCGGCGCACGGGUGAGUAACACGUAGGUAACCUGCCCCCCAGUCUGGAACAACUAGAGGAAACUCUAGCUAAUGCCGGAUGAGACCACGAUCCCUUCGGGGGUUGCGGCCAAAGAUGGCCUCUACUUGUAAGCUAUCGCUGAGGGAUGGGCCUGCGGGCCAUUAGCUUGUUGGUGAGGUAACGGCUCACCAAGGCUGUGAUGGCUAGCUGGUCUGAGAGGAUGACCAGCCACACUGGGACUGAGACACGGCCCAGACUCCUACGGGAGGCAGCAGUGGGGAAUAUUGCGCAAUGGGCGAAAGCCUGACGCAGCGACGCCGCGUGGGUGAUGAAGGCCU